GCAUAUCAAUAAGCGGAGGAAAAGAAACUAACAAGGAUUCCCCUAGUAACGGCGAGUGAAGCGGGAUGAGCUCAAAUUUAAAAUCUGGCUGGUUUACUAGUCCGAAUUGUAGUUUAAAGAAGUGUUUUCGGUGGCAGCCUGGGUAUAAAUCCUUUGGAACAGGGUAUCAUAGAGGGUGAGAAUCCCGUCUUUGACUCAGUGCAUGCUACUAUGUGAUACAUUUUCAAAGAGUCGAGUUGUUUGGGAAUGCAGCUCAAAAUGGGUGGUAAAUUUCAUCUAAGGCUAAAUAUUGGCGAGAGACCGAUAGCGAACAAGUACCGUGAGGGAAAGAUGAAAAGAACUUUGAAAAGAGAGUUAAACAGUGCGUGAAAUUGUUGAAAGGGAAACGCUUGACACCAGUCAUGCGAGCGGAAAAUCAGUCUUUUGCAGUGGGGGGUUGUGUGGGAUCGGACCGCAAGGCCGGCCUAUGCUGCAUCUCUGCUGUAAGUGAUGCACUUUUUCGUUUGCAGGCCAACAUCAGUUUCUUCUGCUGGACAAAACUCUUGAGAAGGUAGCAGCUUGGGCUGUGUUAUAGCUCUUGAGCGAUACAGUGGAGGGGACUGAGGUUUUCGCAGCGCGUGCUUUCGGGCAAGGCUGAUU
RNAcentral lists this ribosomal RNA (639 nucleotides) under Mortierella polygonia. RNAcentral describes it as "eukaryotic LSU rRNA". It matches the Rfam family "Eukaryotic large subunit ribosomal RNA", at positions 38 to 625 of the family's 3401-position model. Lineage: Eukaryota; Fungi; Mortierellomycota; Mortierellomycetes; Mortierellales; Mortierellaceae. The record is from RNAcentral.